RNAcentral lists this unclassified non-coding RNA (1055 nucleotides) under Hevea brasiliensis (rubber tree). The record is from RNAcentral. Lineage: Eukaryota; Viridiplantae; Streptophyta; Magnoliopsida; Malpighiales; Euphorbiaceae.
GGUUUAAGAUAGAGAGCAAAGGUGCAAAAAGAAACACGGUUCAGAUGCCGCCGUGUCGAGAUGCAGAUGCAAGCGCCACUGCCUGAGCCCAUACCUUUAGCCGGGCCUUCACUUCUCGUGGAUCAUCACCAGGGCUAGAAAUCCGCCAGUUGGCGAUAGGCGAAUUGCCACCGCUGCUUGUAUCAAGGGUAGAACCUGAGAGGGAGACACGACCAGGCAUUUCCAGCAUGCGCUCAUGCUCCAAUUCAAACCCAAGAUCUCGACAAGCCUUCACUUCGUCCAAGUCCAUGCACAAUGACCUACUCCCACCCUUUGGCCGAGUUAUCAACACCACCCCUCCGCCUUCACUCUCCCCACUAAAACUGUUACAGUACCCAUAGUAAUUACCCAUUCCCCAGCCCAUACACUCCUCAUCUUUCUUUUUACUCUUAUUAUCACCAUCAACCCAUCUUUCUCUUAUAACCCUUCUUCUCCUCCUCAAAUUCUUUCUCGUACUACCCUUUUGAGCUUCAUUUUCACUGGCAUACUCCUUCGCCCCCACAAGCUUCUUAUUUACCAAACCUCCGCGGUUUCUACGGCGAGGCGGCGUCGCUGGAAGAGAGUAGCAACAGGGUUCUUCAUCGGAAUCUGAGGAGAGGUCAAGCAUGCCAAACCCUUCUUUCUCAUCGGAGAGUUCCUCAUCUGCAUCGAAGCUUUCUAUGGAUAAUCUUGACAAGAACAGCCUCAUACCAUCACAAUCUUGAUAAUCAUCAUCAUCAAUAGUAUACAUAGAACUAGUACACACAGACAACCUGGACAGAUUACUGGGUGGAGGAUGAUGAUCAUGAUCAUACCCAUCAUCAGUAUCAUGAUCAUCCUCGUCUUCAAGCAUAAUAGAAGAAGAAGAAAGCAUAUUGGAGCUCUCAGCUAACGCCAUAAUCAAACAGAGAGAUUAAAAAACAAAAAGGAGUUCAGAGAAAGGAAAGCGUUCGAUCAAAGUAUUAAAAAAGGAAAAGGAGAUUUGAAUUAGUGUAAAAUGAUUUGUGGCUUUUUGGUUUUCUGUGAAUCAUUCGUUC